CUACGGGCCGCUCCAGUCGAGAAUCAUUCGCAAUGCACGAAAGUGUGACGAUGCGACGCUGCGUGGAGGAUGAAGGCCCUAGGGUCGUAAACUCCUGUCAGAAGGGAAAAGACAGUAGUGGGUCAAUACCCCAUUGCUCCGAUGGUACCUUCAGAGGAAGCCACGGCUAACUCUGUGCCAGCAGCCGCGGUAAUACAGAGGGUGGCGAGCGUUGUUCGGAUUUACUGGGCGUAAAGGGUGCGUAGGCGGUCUGUUAAGCUGGAUGUGAAAUCCCGGGGCUCAACCCCGGAACGGCAUCCGGAACUGGCAGACUAGAGACCAGGAGGGGAGAGGAGAAUUCAUGGUGUAGCGGUGAAAUGCGUUGAUAUCAUGAAGAAUACCGGUGGCGAAGGCGCCUCUCUGGAAUGGUUCUGACGCUGAUGCACGAAAGCGUGGGGAGCAAACAGGAUUAGAUACCCUGGUAGUC
Molecule: ribosomal RNA, 466 nt
Filed under: uncultured bacterium
Lineage: Bacteria
Description: partial 16S ribosomal RNA
Rfam family: Bacterial small subunit ribosomal RNA
Source: RNAcentral